ACCUGAGCCGCGCUGCGCCUGCGUCCUCCGCGACUCCGCGCUUGGCAGCCCCUUCCUGGGAAGGUGUAAAAUGCCGCCAGGUAGAGUUCAUCGUGGAGAGGACCAAGACAGAAGAUCAAGAAGAAUUUUUUUUUUAAUCUCUUCCCUUGUCCACCGAAAGACCAUCAAAACUAGAGAGAGAUUAUCAAAUGCCUGGUGACAAGUCCUCGGCUGCACUGGCUUCACAGGAGCUUAUGUGGAGAAGAAAAAGAAUUUGAGCCACAGCAACGAAACUCUAAAGUUGUUUCCAACUCUCUUACCAAAAGAGGCAUCCAGCCCAACAGCUCUCAACCUGGAGUAAAGCUCCCACGUGCCCUGUGGAGCAUCCUCGCUUUGAUUCCAUCCCUUUACUCCCAUUCAGAGAAUUCUACUUGAAUUUAAAUAAAUGACUCUUCUGCUAUUAUUGUGGUAAGCUUGAUUCUGCUGUGAUUUGAAAAGAACAAAAAAUAAAUUAUUGCAAAA
RNAcentral lists this long non-coding RNA (501 nucleotides) under Homo sapiens (human). RNAcentral's name for it is "HSALNT0214778". Lineage: Eukaryota; Metazoa; Chordata; Mammalia; Primates; Hominidae. The record is from RNAcentral.